Non-coding RNA from Triticum aestivum (bread wheat), 135 nucleotides. The record is from Rfam. NCBI's taxonomy places the organism in Eukaryota, Viridiplantae, Streptophyta, Magnoliopsida, Poales, Poaceae.
CAACUACUCCCUUUGUCCCAAAUUUCUUGUCUUAGAUUUGUCUAGAUACGGAUGUAUCUAAUACUAAAAUGUGACUUGAUACAUCCGUAUCUAGACAAAUCUAAGACAUGAAUGUUGGGACAGAGGGAGUACUUU